This 128-nucleotide ribosomal RNA is filed under the name Astroides calycularis. Its description in RNAcentral is "partial 5.8S ribosomal RNA". It matches the Rfam family "5.8S ribosomal RNA", at positions 30 to 154 of the family's 154-position model. From Rfam's summary of the family: 5.8S ribosomal RNA (5.8S rRNA) is a component of the large subunit of the eukaryotic ribosome. It is transcribed by RNA polymerase I as part of the 45S precursor that also contains 18S and 28S rRNA. The record is from RNAcentral. Lineage: Eukaryota; Metazoa; Cnidaria; Anthozoa; Scleractinia; Dendrophylliidae.
GCAUCGAUGAAGAACGCAGCCAGCUGCGACAAGCAGUGUGGAUUGCAGAAUUCAGUGAAUCAUUGAAUCUUUGAACGCAAAUGGCGCUCUUGGGUUCUCCCAGGAGCAUGUCUGUCUGAGUGUCGGAU